GCAUUAAUGGGGUAGUGGUAACCUGGGUCGUUGCCAUGAUCUUUGUGUCGAAGUAUCGACCCGCCGGGGGUUCGAUUCCCUCUUAAUGCA
This 90-nucleotide transfer RNA is filed under the name Marasmius sp. AFHP31. RNAcentral describes it as "tRNA-Gly". It matches the Rfam family "tRNA". From Rfam's summary of the family: Transfer RNA (tRNA) molecules are approximately 80 nucleotides in length. Their secondary structure includes four short double-helical elements and three loops (D, anti-codon, and T loops). The record is from RNAcentral. Lineage: Eukaryota; Fungi; Basidiomycota; Agaricomycetes; Agaricales; Marasmiaceae.